Molecule: long non-coding RNA, 804 nt
Organism: Triticum dicoccoides
Lineage: Eukaryota; Viridiplantae; Streptophyta; Magnoliopsida; Poales; Poaceae
Exons: 3
Source: RefSeq, a predicted model, not a curated record
CUCCUGCCCGCCGCCACUUCAAAUCCUCUCGGGAUCAUCGCCAGAUCCACCUCGUUUUUUCCCCAUCCACCCAAAUGGCAGUCUCCUGUGCCUUCCCGAUCCACCCAUCGAUCCACCCCCACUAAGCUCCUCUGCUCAACCCCCCAGACCCAGUGUCGCCUCAGGACCCAGCAGGCCGCGCCCUCCAGCGACCCUGCUGCCGGCGACCACGACCAGGACCGGCCUUGUCCUGCUCCUCUCUGUCUUCUUCUCCUUCCUCUCCCGUUUUCUCUCUCUCUCUCUCUCUCACGUACCUCCCUCUCUCUCUCUCUCUCAGGUACUCAAGAGCAGCGCCAUGGAUGACCUCCUCCAGCCGACGCCAAGGCCCGCCUUCUGUAGUUCGGUGUCGCCGGAGUUCCCCCACCACCAGAACAACGACGCCAUGGCGCCCGGAGCUCGUCCGGCCCCUGCCACCGCGGAUCCGGCGAGACCCUCCUUGAAUAUUGCGCCUGUGCCCUGGAUCCGCCGACCCUGCCACCUCCGGCGACGCCCUUUCCUUCCCCGCUGUUCCUCGUGUCGUCUCCAUCCCGCGCGAGCCAGCGUCACGUGCUCCAGCACCGCUGCUCCUCUGUCUUUCCUGUCGAACAGAGGAGACGCGCCCGUAGCCUCCCCGCCUCGUGCGUCUGGGUCAGCCAGCGCCAAGCCAGGCCCAAUGCGCCAGAUCCGGCCCGCCUGGCCUCCCCCCUCUUCAGCUGGGCCUUGGCCCUUGUAAUCCGGUAACGUCGUGUUGUGAGGAUCCGUUCGACUACGUCCGUUUGUCUUCUU